GCAUAUCAAUAAGCGGAGGAAAAGAAACCAACAGGGAUUGCCCCCAGUAACGGCGAGUGAAGCGGCAACAGCUCAAAUUUGAAAUCUGGCCCCCAGGGUCCGAGUUGUAAUUUGUAGAGGAUGCUUUUGGCGCGGCGCCUUCCGAGUUCCCUGGAACGGGACGCCAUAGAGGGUGAGAGCCCCGUCUGGUCGGAUGCCUAGCCUCUGUAAAGCUCCUUCGACGAGUCGAGUAGUUUGGGAAUGCUGCUCUAAAUGGGAGGUAUAUGUCUUCUAAAGCUAAAUAUUGGCCAGAGACCGAUAGCGCACAAGUAGAGUGAUCGAAAGAUGAAAAGCACUUUGAAAAGAGGGUUAAAUAGUACGUGAAAUUGUUGAAAGGGAAGCGUUUGUGACCAGACUUGGGCCCGGUUAAUCAUCCAGCGUUCUCGCUGGUGCACUUUGCCGGCCCAGGCCAGCAUCAGUUCGCCCUGGGGGAUAAAGGUUUCGGGAAUGUGGCUCCCUCGGGAGUGUUAUAGCCCGUUGCGUAAUACCCUGUGGCGGACUGAGGUUCGCGCUCCGCAAGGAUGCUGGCGUAAUGGUCAUCAGCGACCCGUCUUGAAACACGGACCAAGGAGUCGUCUUCGUAUGCGAGUGUUCGGGUGUCAAACCCCUACGCGUAAUGAAAGUGAACGCAGGUGAGAGCUUCGGCGCAUCAUCGACCGAUCCUGAUGUUCUCGGAUGGAUUUGAGUAAGAGCAUACGGGGCCGGACCCGAAAGAAGGUGAACUAUGCCUGUAUAGGGUGAAGCCAGAGGAAACUCUGGUGGAGGCUCGCAGCGGUUCUGACGUGCAAAUCGAUCGUCAAAUAUGGGCAUGGGGGGCGAAAGACUAAUCGAACCUUCUAGUAGCUGGUUUCCGCCGA
RNAcentral lists this ribosomal RNA (896 nucleotides) under Niesslia exilis. RNAcentral describes it as "LSU rRNA". It matches the Rfam family "Eukaryotic large subunit ribosomal RNA", at positions 38 to 964 of the family's 3401-position model. The record is from RNAcentral. Lineage: Eukaryota; Fungi; Ascomycota; Sordariomycetes; Hypocreales; Niessliaceae.